GGACUUGUGGAAAGAGUUGUUCUACUUGGAGCACCCAUUGCAAUUAAAGAAAUGAACUGGGAAGCUACUCGGCAGGGAUUGUUGCUUUACCUUCUGCAUUCAUAUUCACAAAUAUUGAUAUUGUAUCAAUAAUAGGCACAUAUGCAUCAGUUACUGUUAUUGCAUAUGUUUAACAUUCUCUAUUAUGCAGGUGGUGGCUGGAAGGUUUGUGAAUGCAUAUUCUACCAACGAUUGGAUACUUGGAAUUGCGUUUCGUGCCAAGUAUGCAAGUCUUAAAUCUACUGUGAAAAUAUUAGGAUUGUGAAAUUGAUAGGUAGAUCACAUCUUGCUUUUGAAGUUGAGAUUUGUGCCUAACUGUGUCAAUAGAAGUAUCAAAACAAAAGAAGAAGUGAAUUUUUUUUGUCCAUUCUUUUGCUUAUUGAUUUUCGAUGUUGCCCUUUGCCUAUAACAGUCUUCUGACACUAGGAUUGGCAGGAAUUCAACCAGUGGAAGUGCCUGGAAUUGAAAAUGUAAAUAUUAUUCGUAAUGCUGGUCAACAUAGCGUAACAUAUGUUUGGGAUUUCAACCUUUAUCUCUCCAUUGUUUUUGACAGGUUAACGUAACUAGCAUAAUUGAUGGUCACUCUUUUAUCUUUGGAAUGCCCAGGAAAUCCUAGAACAGCUCGAACCGAUUUUCAGUCCUCCCCCUGUCAAAACAUAGUUUGUACUGAAAUUCUGGCAUAGAGUGCAAUUGCAUCAGAGGCUUUGUUCUUGUCGGAAAUGGAGGUUUGGAUCUAAUUUUAAGUGUUACCGUAGUCGGCUUGUGUAUUCUUGAACCGAGGAUAUUUCAUUAGUUACUGCUUGGUACUUCUAUAAAUUUCAUUUUAUCCUCAUUCUUUGCGCAAUAUGAAUCAUAAGAAUUGAACAAAUGAAACAGGUAAACAGGUGGUAAUAUUGAAGAUCUGUACUUGCUCGUGUUACUGAGGAGAUGAAGAGUGGCUAUAAAAGUGCAAAACAAAUGCUGGAGUUCCCAUACGAGAAAUUAAGUAGAUGCCAUAUUUUUGGAACUGAUACAAAUCAACAUUGCCAAGAAUGUAGAAUGUAAAAUGAAUAAUGUUAAUUUACAUAAACAUAAAAUGUC
Molecule: long non-coding RNA, 1119 nt
Filed under: Olea europaea subsp. europaea
Lineage: Eukaryota; Viridiplantae; Streptophyta; Magnoliopsida; Lamiales; Oleaceae
Source: RNAcentral